This 507-nucleotide ribosomal RNA is filed under the name uncultured bacterium. RNAcentral's name for it is "partial 16S ribosomal RNA". It matches the Rfam family "Bacterial small subunit ribosomal RNA", at positions 28 to 507 of the family's 1533-position model. The record is from RNAcentral.
GACGAACGCUGGCGGCGUGCUUAACACAUGCAAGUCGAACGGGCCUUGUCCCCUUUUUUUUGGGGGUGGGGUUAGUGGCGAACGGGUGAGUAACACGUGAGUAACCUGCCCCUCACUUCUGGAUAACCGCUUGAAAGGGUGGCUAAUACGGGGUGUUCUGGCCUGCUCGCAUGGGUGGGUUUGGAAAGAUUCGACCGGUUUUGGUUGUUUUGGUGGGGGAUGGGCUCGCGGCCUCUCAGCUUGUUGGUGGGGGGAUGGCCUGCCAAGGCGUUGACGGGUAGCCGGCCUGAGAGGGUGGGCGGUCACACUGGGACUGAGACACGGCCCAGACUCCUACGGGAGGCAGCAGUGGGGAAUAUUGCACAAUGGGCGCAAGCCUGAUGCAGCGACGCCGCGUGAGGGAUGGAGGCCUUCGGGUUGUGAACCUCUUUCGCCAGUGAAGAAGGUCCUGCUCUUUGUGGUGGGGUUGACGGUAGCUGGGUUAAUGAAGCGCCGGCUAACUACGUG